CCUACGGGGGGCAGCAGUGAGGAAUAUUGGUCAAUGGGAGGAAUCCUGAACCAGCCAUGCCGCGUGCAGGACGACGGCUCUACGAGUUGUAAACUGCUUUUGUACCGGGGUAAAAUGCUCUACGAGUAGGGUUUUGAAAGUACGGUACGAAUAAGGAUCGGCUAACUCCGUGCCAGCAGCCGCGGUAAUACGGAGGAUCCGAGCGUUAUCCGGAUUGAUUGGGUUUAAAGGGUGCGUAGGUUGUUUUAUAAGUUAGCGGUGAAAGACCGAUGCUCAACAUCGGGGCUGCCGCUGAUACUGUAGGACUAGAGAGCGGAUGCAGCAGGCGGAAUGUGUAGUGUAGCGGUGAAAUGCAUAGAUAUUACACAGAACACCGAUUGCGAAGGCAGCUUGCUAGGCCGGAUCUGACACUGAUGCACGAAAGCGUGGGGAUCGAACAGGAUUAGAUACCCCAGUAGUC
This 460-nucleotide ribosomal RNA is filed under the name uncultured bacterium. Its description in RNAcentral is "partial 16S ribosomal RNA". It matches the Rfam family "Bacterial small subunit ribosomal RNA", at positions 338 to 795 of the family's 1533-position model. The record is from RNAcentral.